This 1323-nucleotide ribosomal RNA is filed under the name Microbacterium esteraromaticum. Its description in RNAcentral is "bacterial SSU rRNA". It matches the Rfam family "Bacterial small subunit ribosomal RNA", at positions 88 to 1423 of the family's 1533-position model. Lineage: Bacteria; Bacillati; Actinomycetota; Actinomycetes; Micrococcales; Microbacteriaceae. The record is from RNAcentral.
UGGAUUAGUGGCGAACGGGUGAGUAACACGUGAGCAACCUGCCCCUGACUCUGGGAUAAGCGCUGGAAACGGCGUCUAAUACUGGAUAUGUCCCAUCACCGCAUGGUGUGUGGGUGGAAAGAUUUUUCGGUUGGGGAUGGGCUCGCGGCCUAUCAGCUUGUUGGUGAGGUAAUGGCUCACCAAGGCGUCGACGGGUAGCCGGCCUGAGAGGGUGACCGGCCACACUGGGACUGAGACACGGCCCAGACUCCUACGGGAGGCAGCAGUGGGGAAUAUUGCACAAUGGGCGGAAGCCUGAUGCAGCAACGCCGCGUGAGGGAUGACGGCCUUCGGGUUGUAAACCUCUUUUAGCAGGGAAGAAGCGAGAGUGACGGUACCUGCAGAAAAAGCACCGGCUAACUACGUGCCAGCAGCCGCGGUAAUACGUAGGGUGCAAGCGUUAUCCGGAAUUAUUGGGCGUAAAGAGCUCGUAGGCGGUCUGUCGCGUCUGCUGUGAAAUUCCGAGGCUCAACCUCGGGCUUGCAGUGGGUACGGGCAGACUAGAGUGCGGUAGGGGAGAUUGGAAUUCCUGGUGUAGCGGUGGAAUGCGCAGAUAUCAGGAGGAACACCGAUGGCGAAGGCAGAUCUCUGGGCCGUAACUGACGCUGAGGAGCGAAAGGGUGGGGAGCAAACAGGCUUAGAUACCCUGGUAGUCCACCCCGUAAACGUUGGGAACUAGUUGUGGGGUCCUUUCCACGGAUUCCGUGACGCAGCUACGCAUUAAGUUCCCCGCCUGGGGAGUACGGCCGCAAGGCUAAAACUCAAAGGAAUUGACGGGGACCCGCACAAGCGGCGGAGCAUGCGGAUUAAUUCGAUGCAACGCGAAGAACCUUACCAAGGCUUGACAUACACGAGAACGGGCCAGAAAUGGUCAACUCUUUGGACACUCGUGAACAGGUGGUGCAUGGUUGUCGUCAGCUCGUGUCGUGAGAUGUUGGGUUAAGUCCCGCAACGAGCGCAACCCUCGUUCUAUGUUGCCAGCACGUAAUGGUGGGAACUCAUGGGAUACUGCCGGGGUCAACUCGGAGGAAGGUGGGGAUGACGUCAAAUCAUCAUGCCCCUUAUGUCUUGGGCUUCACGCAUGCUACAAUGGCCGGUACAAUGGGCUGCAAUACCGUGAGGUGGAGCGAAUCCCAAAAAGCCGGUCCCAGUUCGGAUUGAGGUCUGCAACUCGACCUCAUGAAGUCGGAGUCGCUAGUAAUCGCAGAUCAGCAACGCUGCGGUGAAUACGUUCCCGGGUCUUGUACACACCGCCCGUCAAGUCAUGAAAGUCGGUAACACCUG